This 800-nucleotide ribosomal RNA is filed under the name uncultured bacterium. RNAcentral's name for it is "bacterial SSU rRNA". It matches the Rfam family "Bacterial small subunit ribosomal RNA", at positions 8 to 791 of the family's 1533-position model. The record is from RNAcentral.
AGAGUUUGAUCCUGGCUCAGGACGAACGCUGGCGGCGUGCCUAAUACAUGCAAGUAGAACGCUGAAGAGAGGAGCUUGCUCUUCUUGGAUGAGUUGCGAACGGGUGAGUAACGCGUAGGUAACCUGCCUUGUAGCGGGGGAUAACUAUUGGAAACGAUAGCUAAUACCGCAUAACAAUGGAUGACACAUGUCAUUUAUUUGAAAGGGGCAAUUGCUCCACUACAAGAUGGACCUGCGUUGUAUUAGCUAGUAGGUGAGGUAAUGGCUCACCUAGGCGACGAUACAUAGCCGACCUGAGAGGGUGAUCGGCCACACUGGGACUGAGACACGGCCCAGACUCCUACAGGAGGCAGCAGUAGGGAAUCUUCGGCAAUGGGGGCAACCCUGACCGAGCAACGCCGCGUGAGUGAAGAAGGUUUUCGGAUCGUAAAGCUCUGUUGUAAGUCAAGAACGGGUGUGAGAGUGGAAAGUUCACACUGUGACGGUAGCUUACCAGAAAGGGACGGCUAACUACGUGCCAGCAGCCGCGGUAAUACGUAGGUCCCGAGCGUUGUCCGGAUUUAUUGGGCGUAAAGCGAGCGCAGGCGGUUUGAUAAGUCUGAAGUUAAAGGCUGUGGCUCAACCAUAGUUCGCUUUGGAAACUGUCAAACUUGAGUGCAGAAGGGGAGAGUGGAAUUCCAUGUGUAGCGGUGAAAUGCGUAGAUAUAUGGAGGAACACCGGUGGCGAAAGCGGCUCUCUGGUCUGUAACUGACGCUGAGGCUCGAAAGCGUGGGGAGCGAACAGGAUUAGAUACCCUGGU